UACAAUAAAUUGGAAAGGCUGGGAAAGAACAGAUCCAAGGGAAACCUGGAAAGAGUUCUGCAAGCUUUUACCCCUGUUACGGCCUGAGGCAAAUUCAGCAGAGGGGAAACAGAUGCCCUUGCCCAGUCUGCUCCCACGUAAAAGGAGUGCUUUUGAUGCUAAGGAACAAGACUUCAAACAGACCUUCUUUCUCUCUGAUGUCCAACUCUAGUCAUGCAACAAUGGCUUUUGAUUAUUCCUGAGCCAAGCUGGAUGCUGACGGGUGAAAUCAUUUGUGGCAUGUUAUCAACUACUUCAGUUCACUUCUGCUAAAUAAUGAAAUCCAGUAAUAAAUUGAACACACAAGCAAAAUCUCUUAAACAUGCUCUGGGGGGCUCUACCUAUUUUAUUUCUUCUCUCAUGAUAUUCCUUUUCUCUAUGUGUGAGCUG
This is a long non-coding RNA of Neopsephotus bourkii (Bourke's parrot), 429 nucleotides long. RefSeq lists it as uncharacterized. The transcript has 3 exons. NCBI's taxonomy places the organism in Eukaryota, Metazoa, Chordata, Aves, Psittaciformes, Psittacidae. The record is from RefSeq and is a predicted model, not a curated record.